UGCCAGAUCAUCUAACGGUAGGAUACAUGGCUCUGGACCAUGGCAUCUAGGUUCAAAUCCUAGUCUGGCAGCCA
RNAcentral lists this transfer RNA (74 nucleotides) under Candidatus Daviesbacteria bacterium. RNAcentral describes it as "tRNA-Gln". It matches the Rfam family "tRNA". Rfam says of the family: Transfer RNA (tRNA) molecules are approximately 80 nucleotides in length. The record is from RNAcentral. Lineage: Bacteria; Candidatus Daviesiibacteriota.